UGUUCUCAUGUAUGCUUUUGUUUGCAAACAUUAAAAGCUUGAACUGAAUGUUGUGCGUUAGUCUCUUGACUGUUCUCACUGCCGGUGGAUACAGAUGAAAUUUCCACCACAGUAAACUUGGGGUAGCUGGCAGGAUCGCUAACUUAAGUCUUUCUUGCAGACAUAUGAGCAGGUUUGGAAUCUUGCACAGCUGGAGUCUGGGACCCGGAGCUUCAAUGCUCCCCCGAAAAAGCCGUAAGUGAAAGCAUCGGGGAGAAGAAAAUGAGCGCCUGUAUAAAAUGGUCUGUUGGAGACGAUUUAUACGGAUCCAAAGAACAAAAGGACGGUGAACUCCAUGACUGUGCGGCGACUGUAGAACAAAUUCUGACACCAAGACCCGUUCUACAGGCACAACCUCUCACCAAACCCGACCUGAUCUUGUUUCUGGAUGGAUCAGCUAAAAGGGACCCUGAUACAGGGACCCCACAGGUCGGCUAUGCAGUAGUAAUGCAACACACGUACCUACAGUCAGCUCACCUGCCAGGCUAUCUCUCAGCCCAGGCGACUGAGCUGUUCACACUCACUCAUGAUUGCAUCUUGGCACAGGACCGUUCGGCUACCAUUUACACUGAUAACAGGUAUGCAUUCAGGGUGGCGUAUGACUUUGGAGCCCUAUGGAAGAAUAGAGCCUUCUUUACAUCAACCGGGAAAUCUAUCACGCAUGCAUCACUAGUCAACAACCUAUUAGAGGCCAUUCUGUUACCAAAACAAAUUGCUGUAUGCAAGUGCGCUGCCCACACAUCUGGGGAUGACCCAGUCACCUAAGGUAAUAACUGUGCAGACACGGCUGCUAAAACUGCUGCAGGCAGUCUCGCUGCCCCAAUUUAGCAAAUCACAUUGUUAGCAGAGGAAGCUGCACUAUUCCAUACGCCUUUCACUUCCCUUAUAGAAUGUCAAGCGUAAGCGACACCUGCUGAAAAGCGCACAUGGGCGAAAGCAGGAACAAAGACUAUUGGUACGGGCCUUGUGGUAAGCCCUGCCUACCAAAAGCAUUCAAAAGCACCUUAUUUUGCAAGAGUGACACAUGGAAAGGAUCAUGUGUCAAAAGUGGAGAUGGCAGCAACAAUACAACAGCACUAGGCAACACAAGGCUUCUCAAAUUACUCUAAAUAUUUUUGUGAAAAAUGUGUUAUUUGUGCAACCCACAAUGUCGGUAGGGGCCAACCAGUCACCAAGUCCAGUCAUCCUGCUCCUACCGAACCAUUUGAACAUUUAAUGAUGGAUUUCAUUGAACUAACACCAAACAAAUGAAAGAAAUAUUGUCUUGUAAUUGUUGACAUGUUCUCUAAAUGGAUUGAAGCUUUUCUCUCAGCUAAAGCAGAUGCAUCAGCAGUUGCAAAGGCCCUGAUCUCGGAAAUACUGCCCAGAUGGGGAAUUCCGAGAAGAAUCCCCUCUGACAAUGGAUCACACUUUGUCAACCAUUGUCUCUCUGUUUAUUUAGGGUUUGACUUGAAGAACCACUGCGCCUAUCAUCCACAGAGUGGAGGAGCGGUAGGAUGUGCAAAUGGCACCCUAAAAAACAAAUUGACUAAAGUUACGACUGAAACGGGACUGGGUUAGGUAAAAGCCCUACUCCUGGUGUUGUUGGCAAUGAGGGGACGCCCUCAUGGAGCCACUAACCAUUCUCCCUUUGAAAUUUUAACAGGGAAACCAAUGAAAACGGGAGUGUCCGUGCCCAGACCCCUUAGCCUAGGGGCAGAGGAAAUGAGUAACCAGAUGCUAGAAUACUGUGUGCAUCUAACUAAAUCUCUCCAGUAUAUUCAUGCGCAGGUAAAAGAGGCGCUACUAAAACCAACAGAGGGACAACUACACAACCUCAGGCCAGGAGACCAGGUGGUGAUCAAGGACUUCCGACGCAACCACUGGCACCAACCCUGGUGGCGAGGACCAUUCCAGGUGCUACUCACUUCCAAAACAGCAGUGGAGGUCGAGAGCCACACAACCUGGGUGCACGCCAGCCACUGUAAACAAGCACCACCCCUGCAGGAAGAGGAAAAGACAGACUGAAGGCGUGAAGCCUAAAGUCAAAUGAGACAAGUGCUAGUAAGCUGUCCCCAAUGAUGCCUACCCAAACUUGCCACCCCAUGCGCCGCAUAGGGUAUGGCCUGAGAGCACGGAUUUGCUGCCUCAUCCUCAUCUCUGCCGCCAUCGUUCUCCCGCUUAUUUGGCUGGAGGAUAAUGUUCAGACGACCAACGGCAAUAGUGGUGUUUUUUGUACUGUGUUGUUGUUUGGCAUGCAUUAUCCCCUGUGUGCGAUCCUUGGUUUCUAAGAUGCUUAACAGUGCUGUACAAGGACAGUAUGUGCAGAUAGCAACAAAAGAGCCUGAGGACCCAGACGUAAAAGCUCUGGAGCCCCUUCCAGGGAAUCCUUUCCACGAUGAUGAUGAUUCUCACCAUUGGCCUGACCCUCACCAUUGGCCUGACUUGAACCCCAGACCCCCUUGGGUCCCCACUCCACCGUCCCCAAGUGAAUAUGACUCAGAUAAAGAAGGUACUCUUGUAUAAUGCUUAUACUGUGUGAACCAGCCAAUGUUGUCUAAUUUUUCUUUUGAUUGUAUAGUUAUCAUAAAAUGAUAAAAGGGGGGACUGGGAUAGAAAAAUUAUGCUUGUGUAUAUAUUGAUGAAAAUUGCUGGUUGGGGGGGAGGAAGCAUCGCGGAGCAACAUGCAGAGCAUCGCGUGCCUGAGGACGUGCCUGUUUGUCCUUCCUCAGCCAUCCAAUGUUGUACCCCCCAACCACAAGAAUUUAUCCUUGAUGCACACAGCUGCAAUACCUCAGAUAGCCUUUCUGCUUAUCAGCUUCAAACCGCCUAGCAUGAAUCAGCUGCUUUGCAAGACCCAAACCCCUAUAAAAGGGAAAGUCCUUGAGCUGCGACUCAGGGCACUGGGUAAGAGUGUUCUCAUGUAUGCUUUUGUUUGCACACAUUAAAAGCUUGAACUGAAUAUUGAA
This is a long non-coding RNA of Anguilla rostrata (American eel), 2987 nucleotides long. RefSeq lists it as uncharacterized. NCBI's taxonomy places the organism in Eukaryota, Metazoa, Chordata, Actinopteri, Anguilliformes, Anguillidae. The transcript has 2 exons. The record is from RefSeq and is a predicted model, not a curated record.